UGCGGAAUGACAGUAGCUGGUAUCUGAGAGGUCUCAUAAGCCUCCGCCUUGUGCCUCGCGGGUUCGAGUCCCGCUUCCGCAACCA
Molecule: transfer RNA, 85 nt
Filed under: Xanthocytophaga agilis
Lineage: Bacteria; Pseudomonadati; Bacteroidota; Cytophagia; Cytophagales; Rhodocytophagaceae
Also listed under: 1 other name
Description: tRNA-Met
Rfam family: tRNA
About the family: Transfer RNA (tRNA) molecules are approximately 80 nucleotides in length. Their secondary structure includes four short double-helical elements and three loops (D, anti-codon, and T loops). Further hydrogen bonds mediate the characteristic L-shaped molecular structure. tRNAs have two regions of fundamental functional importance: the anti-codon, which is responsible for specific mRNA codon recognition, and the 3' end, to which the tRNAs corresponding amino acid is attached (by aminoacyl-tRNA synthetases). tRNAs cope with the degeneracy of the genetic code in two manners: having more than one tRNA (with a specific anti-codon) for a particular amino acid; and 'wobble' base-pairing, i.e. permitting non-standard base-pairing at the 3rd anti-codon position.
Source: RNAcentral